RNAcentral lists this ribosomal RNA (61 nucleotides) under uncultured organism. RNAcentral's name for it is "partial 16S ribosomal RNA". The record is from RNAcentral.
UGGGCUAGAAUGUUACAUGACCGGUCCUGAAAGGGAUUUUCAUAGCAAUAUGUAUGUAAUA